RNAcentral lists this ribosomal RNA (301 nucleotides) under uncultured bacterium. RNAcentral describes it as "partial 16S ribosomal RNA". It matches the Rfam family "Bacterial small subunit ribosomal RNA", at positions 509 to 807 of the family's 1533-position model. The record is from RNAcentral.
CAGUAGCCGCGGUAACACGGAGGGUGCAAGCGUUACUCGGAAUCACUGGGCGUAAAGGACGCGUAGGCGGAUUAUCAAGUCUCUUGUGAAAUCUAACGGCUUAACCGUUAAACUGCUUGGGAAACUGAUAAUCUAGAGUAAGGGAGAGGCAGAUGGAAUUCUUGGUGUAGGGGUAAAAUCCGUAGAGAUCAAGAAGAAUACCCAUUGCGAAAGCGAUCUGCUGGAACUUAACUGACGCUAAUGCGUGAAAGCGUGGGGAGCAAACAGGAUUAGAUACCCCCGUAGUCCCUGUCUCUUAUAC